RNA transcript from Acipenser ruthenus (sterlet), 3099 nucleotides. It is a transcript of the gene named forkhead box protein G1-like, with no coding region annotated. The record is from RefSeq and is a predicted model, not a curated record. The transcript is spliced from 3 exons. Lineage: Eukaryota; Metazoa; Chordata; Actinopteri; Acipenseriformes; Acipenseridae.
UUUACAGUCUAGUGUCUGUGGCUCCGUAAUUAAUUGUAGCUGCUGUCUCUUAUCGACGUGUUUUUAGAGAACAUGAAGUAGUUGUUUUUUUUUACUACAGGAGUUGCCAGCGGAUGAGAUUGAGGUCCAACUGUGCUGCUGCUGUUGCUAUUUUACUUAUGUGUGAUGUUGGAUAUGGGAGAAAGGAAAGAAGUGAAAAUGAUUCCUAAAUCAUCGUUCAGUAUAAACAGCCUGGUGCCUGAAGCCGUCCAAAGUGACAACCACCACAGAUCAGCCCCCGAAGAACAGGAGAAACAUCUUUUGCCCAACCCGGUGCAGGACUCAAAGCCCGAGAACAUUGACAAUACGAAUGAAAAUAGUUCGCCCGAGUUACCUUGCUCGGAAGAAAAGGAAAAGCAGGAAGAGAAAAAAGUGGAGUGCAAAGAAGGGGACGGUGGUAAAGACGGGGAAAAGAAAAAUGGCAAAUAUGAAAAACCACCUUUCAGCUACAACGCUUUAAUCAUGAUGGCUAUUAGACAAAGCCCGGAGAAACGAUUGACACUUAAUGGCAUCUACGAAUUUAUAAUGAAAAAUUUCCCUUAUUAUAGAGAAAACAAACAGGGCUGGCAAAACUCCAUCAGACACAACCUGAGCCUCAACAAAUGUUUCGUAAAAGUUCCAAGACACUACGACGACCCUGGUAAAGGGAACUACUGGAUGCUGGACCCUUCUAGCGACGAUGUGUUCAUAGGUGGCACAACUGGAAAACUUCGUAGGAGAUCGACAACCUCUAGAGCCAAACUGGCUUUUAAACGGGGAGCUCGUCUUACUUCUACGGGUCUGACAUUUAUGGAUAGGGCCGGUUCCUUGUACUGGCCAAUGUCUCCUUUCCUUUCGCUCCAUCAUCCCCGGGCCAGCAGUGCUUUGAGUUACAAUGGGACGACCGCUGCUUACCCUAGCCACCCAAUGUCUUACAGCUCGUUAUUGACUCAGAACACUUUGGGAAACAACCACUCAUUUUCUGCCACAAAUGGGCUAAGUGUAGAUAGACUUGUAAAUGGAGACAUUCCUUAUGCCACUCAUCACCUCACAGCAGCAGCCUUGGCUGCCUCCGUGCCAUGUGGUUUAUCAGUGCCCUGCUCAGGCACGUAUUCCUUAAACCCUUGUUCAGUAAAUCUUUUAUCAGGACAGGCAAGUUACUUUUUCCCUCAUGUCCCACACCCUUCAAUGACUUCUCAAAGCAGCACUUCAAUGACGGCCAGGGCAGCCUCCUCCACGUCUCCACAGGCUCCUUCAUCUCUCGCCUGUGAGUCUUUAAGACCCUCUUUGCCAAGUUUCACUACAGGCCUUUCUGGAGGACUUUCUGAUUACUUCCCACAUCACAGUCAGGGGUCUACUUCAAACCCUCUUAUACACUAACAAACUGGAUCAGACUAUAAGAAUGUGCGUUGACCGUCUCACAGGAGAUUUACCCUAUGUGUGGCAAUACAGCAAAAUGGAACUGUCCUAUUUCAGCAAAAAAAAAAAACCAAACAUUGCAUGAUGUCUGUAAAUUCUGCAUGUAUAUGUUGUUACUGCAAGUGAUUGUAUUUGUUAACGUGAAAACCCUUGUGGUUUGUGAAAGUUUAGAAUAUCAUGUAUAAGAUGAUGUUUUUGUAGGCCUAUACGUGGGACAACAUUGCUGGUAAUUGUAAAUCACAUGACUUGAAUAGCAGCUUCAUACAGUUCAGACUUAUUUCCAUGACAGCUAUCCAGUAUCUUAAUAUAAUGUAAACAGCAUGUUCCAAUACCGGCAUGAAAUGUGAAAUGCUGGUGUCAUUUAUGUUCUGAAUAUUCCAUCUAUUCUAUCAAGCUUUAAUUAAUUGGUCGCUUUCAGAAAUAAUUUGACAUAUCGUUUAGUAAGCAUGUAAGAUGCGGUGAAAUAUCUGUUGCACUCCUAUAAUGAGACAUUAUUAUAAUAAAAAAAAAUACUCACCAUUUUUUAUUGGCUGUUAUAAGUAACCUCUUUUUUGGGGGGACUAUCUUUGUUAUCCUAAAGUGUUCUCCCUGUAACAGCUACUCUUCUAUGACGUAAACACAUAAAACACACCGACAUGCACAUGGUAUGUACAGAAACACAAACUGUCCGCAGAAUUGCUGAAGGUUGAGAUAUAUUAAAUAUUCUCAUGUUUUUUUAAUAAAUGAAGGGUGUGUGAGUUUGCUUGUAAUUGUAAUUAUGUUUCUAUUCCUGCAAUAAAUGUUUGGAAACUUCUUCUAGACCUUCAUGGAAGAUUUUAAGCUUAUCUCUCCUGCAACGUUUUCACAUCUGCGGGCUUGUAGUGAAAACAUGAAGGGGCUCAUGGGAAUACAAUACAUUUACAAAUCUCUACAAUCUAUGGUAUGACAGUGCUGGAAUUGUUUCUUUUCAACUACCGUCUAACACAGUAAGCAAUAUUGGGGGAAAAAAUACAUAUGUAUUUGUGAAUCAAAAUAGAAAACUUUCUUGACAAUUGUAAUUUUUAAAAUGUAUUUCUGUUAGAAAAAUAGGGCUUACAUCGUGCUGAAGUUUUAUUUUCUAUAUUUAUUUAAACUUUUAUUAUUAUUAUUAUUAUUAUUAUUAUUAUUAUUAUUAUUAUUAUUAUUAAAAGAUAGGCCUAUCUGUAGAAUUUAAAUAUUUAAUCUCAUUUGCAUGGGGGUCCAAUGUCUCUCACAGAAAGAUGAAUUUGAAAAUAAUUACCUUAAAUAUGGACAUUUCAUGGUCUUUUUAUGUUUCUGUUGUCUGUACAAGGAGUCCUUCAAGAGAGUAUUUCAUUUGGUCUUGGUGACCUGUAUUGGGAAUACCUGUCCAUGGAAAUGGAGAUGCAUAUUAUAUCAAAGUUCUGAAUCUGACAGGUAAAUUAGAUUUCCACCGCUAAAAGGGAAUGAUCAAAAAGAAAAAAAGGUCACAAUCUAGCUUUGACAUGAACCCUUAUAUAAAGGAAACGCACACUUGCACUCAUUUGCCUCAGCAUCUGAAGAGCCCCGUCAAAUCAAGAUAACCUUUAACCCCUUUAAAAUACACCCAUUCUCAGUGCUAAAUAUUGUCGUUUGUUUUAAAGCGAAAUGGGAAAGUUCUUCCAAAAUGGUAUAAAUAUAAAUAUC